Molecule: ribosomal RNA, 467 nt
Filed under: uncultured bacterium
Lineage: Bacteria
Description: partial 16S ribosomal RNA
Rfam family: Bacterial small subunit ribosomal RNA
Source: RNAcentral
GACGAACGCUGGCGGCGUGCUUAACACAUGCAAGUCGAACGGAAAGGCCCUGCUUUUGUGGGGUGCUCGAGUGGCGAACGGGUGAGUAACACGUGAGUAACCUGCCCUUGACUUUGGGAUAACUUCAGGAAACUGGGGCUAAUACCGGAUAGGAGCUCCUGCUGCAUGGUGGGGGUUGGAAAGUUUCGGCGGUUGGGGAUGGACUCGCGGCUUAUCAGCUUGUUGGUGGGGUAGUGGCUUACCAAGGCUUUGACGGGCAGCCGGCCUGAGAGGGUGACCGGCCACAGGGGGACUGAGAUACGGCCCAGACUCCUACGGGGGGCAGCAGUGGAGAAUAGUGCACAAUGGGCGGAAGCCUGAUGGAGCAACGCCGCGUGCGGGAUGACGGCCUUCGUGUUGUAAACCGCUUUCGCCUGUGACGAAGCGUUAGUAACGGAAAUAGGUAAAGAAGCACCGGCUAACUACGG